AUCUAAUGACACCAUAUUCGAAUCAAGGGGAUACAGGUUAUCAAAUUCAAGAAGCAAUCUCAGCAGUGAAAUGAUCAAUCUCGAUGCACUUGAUUCCCAAGAAUUUCUAUUAAGAAGGCUUGUUAGAGGAGAUGAUCGUGUUCAGUUCGAUUCCAAUGGAUUUUCAUGCCACACCGAUUAUCAUUACGAUCUAUGCGUUGCAAAUAAACCUGUGAGGAUUUACAACAAAGGGUUAACAGUUUAUGCGCCGCAUGAUCAUCAACCUCAAGUCUAGAGAGUUGUCAGGCCGUACGCAAGGAAGGAAGACGAAACCGCCAUGAAGAGCGUCUCGCCGGUC
This is a long non-coding RNA of Hibiscus syriacus, 337 nucleotides long. RefSeq lists it as uncharacterized. The record is from RefSeq and is a predicted model, not a curated record. The transcript has 3 exons. Lineage: Eukaryota; Viridiplantae; Streptophyta; Magnoliopsida; Malvales; Malvaceae.